UACGGGGGGGGCAAGCGUUGUUCGGAAUUACUGGGCGUAAAGGGCUCGUAGGCGGCCAACUAAGUCGGAUGUGAAAUCCCCAGGCUCAACUUGGGAACUGCAUCCGAUACUGGAUGGCUUGAAUUCGGGAGAGGGUAGUGGAAUUCCCGGUGUAGCAGUGAAAUGCGUAGAGAUCGGGAGGAACACCAGUGGCGAAGGCGGCUACCUGGACCAGCAUUGACACUCAAGCACGAAAGCGUGGGGAGCAAACAGG
Molecule: ribosomal RNA, 253 nt
Filed under: uncultured bacterium
Lineage: Bacteria
Description: partial 16S ribosomal RNA
Rfam family: Bacterial small subunit ribosomal RNA
Source: RNAcentral